This 852-nucleotide long non-coding RNA is filed under the name Meleagris gallopavo (turkey). Its description in RNAcentral is "lncRNA (ENSMGAG00000018044.1)". The record is from RNAcentral. Lineage: Eukaryota; Metazoa; Chordata; Aves; Galliformes; Phasianidae.
GCAGGAGGGGGCGGGCCUGUGUUGCCGUAGCAGCAAGACGCCGCGAGGCGGGGCAAGCCGCGCAGAGGAUAUGAUACAGCUGGAAAAGACUUGGAGAAGGAUGACAAAGACAGCAGAAGGCAGAGAAGGACUUUAUUACCAGUAGCAGCAGAAAGAACCAAUACAACUAAACAUGACCUUUCUGUACUCUUCUCUGGCUUUUGUAUUAACACUGCUGAUGGCUGGAGAGGAACUGUAAGGUUGCUGGAGUUCGUCAUGGAAAUCUGCAUUCGGACUUUUAUUGCUGUCCUGAAACUAUUUCACAAGAUUUGACCCAGAUUCUAAAACAGACUUGUAAUUCUAUGUGUUGGUUCAAGGUCUCAGUGUUAUUUGCAGUUCUGCUGUUUAAGAACAUCCAUAUUCAUUGAACCAUUCUGUAAAUUUAGAAAUCAUUUCAGCUUUCAUUUCUAUUUGAAUUAAACUGUUUAUCAGGUAUGGCAAAAAUACUAUUUUUCCACUUUUGUUUUUUUUUUGACUUCUAUGUAUGCGAUUUUCUCUAAGUUGGAUUUUAAAUGUAAUUGUAUAGUGGAUAGUUGAAGAAUGCUAAACGUCACGUCUUUUGUUACAGUACUGCUUGCUAAUAUUCUGAAAAGGCAAAUCUGCUCUCUUCCUUCUUGAAAAGCAGUGGAGACUAGUGUUUAUUACAGUAGCCAAGGCUGUCUAGUUGUUUUCCUCUGUCUGAUGGGUGAUGAUUUUUAUCUUAUCAUUAUAUUACAAACAUUUCAGAUUCAGGAGAUUUUGUUGUCCUUUUGCUCAGCAAAAUGGAAUCUCCGGUGAAAACAUUUUUUGUGCUGUCAUACUGUGAAGCGGUGU